This is a long non-coding RNA of Anas platyrhynchos (mallard), 1421 nucleotides long. RefSeq lists it as uncharacterized. The record is from RefSeq and is a predicted model, not a curated record. NCBI's taxonomy places the organism in Eukaryota, Metazoa, Chordata, Aves, Anseriformes, Anatidae.
CCGGACUGCUCGGGGUUAGGCUGGGCAUCGGUCAGCGGGUGGAGCAGAAAAUCACAUCAACCAACAUAGCCUAACACUAGCUGUACCUCUGAAAGAAGGAUGCAAGGUCUACCCAUUCAGCUUGUUUGCUGAGAUGUCUCUAGGUGGACCUAAAGAUAAGGAGGGAAAUCCCAGGAGACAGUAUCUAUAGUUGAGUUAUCUUUAGACUCUUCAAACACAUACAGAGGAGACUCAGAAGAGGAAAUUUCUGCCCACUGCUGUAGGGACAAAGGAUACUCCUUCUGAUGUCUCUUAUCUCUUUCCUGGCAUCGGAUACCUGGUCUCCUGAAAAGGAUGUUUUUUUCUUCAAUUGAAUGCUGCUACUCCAAGGCACAACUCAUCAGGACUUCUGAUUCAUCUGGCCUAAAAAACAGAUGUUAUUUGGGACUGGCCGCAGCAGCAAUGAAGAGAAUAUUUGCUCUCUUUUGUAAGAGAUUGCAAUACAGAGACAGAGGUUGUGACGACAUGAUUUAUUGGCUGCAACAACGAAACUGGUGCAAGUUCUCCCCUGCCUGCUUGCUGCUUAUCCAUGAUGCCUUGUUGCUAAAAUGACCUAGGCUCAGAAAGGAUACUCCUCAAAUACUUAAUUUUGUCAUGGAUCACAUAAGUGGUUCAAAUUUAUCACACAGUUCUGGAAAAAUAUUGUACUACAGUCGGCAAGGUUGUAGACAUGGGUAUCAUGAACAGGAACAAGAAGCCAGAAAGAUGUAAAGGGAGAGGUAUGUAAUGCCAUUACACCCUUGGAAACAAAACUUGCUUAAGGAAACUGAGGAAGACAAGAUGCCCAUUUUAUAUGUGGGUAUAUUUACUCUUUUAGCCUGAAAUAUUUUUUUCUCUCUGGAUGGUAACUAAUUAAUACAUUAAUACCAAGUAAAUUACAGUAAAGUUACCUAAAUGCUCUUUGAAACAUCAAUCCAUACACAAAUCAUUAUUUUCUCUUCCUCCAAUGCUGUUUUACUGGACAGAAAAAUCUCACUGCAAUCUUAAUUAUGGAGCUUGAUGAAGCUCCACAGUACAGAAAGAAUGGAAAUUUCAAGGCAGUUUCCUUUGGUGUGGGCUUGGUGUCAGCACACUGGAGUGUUAACCUGGGUAGGAAUUACUAACUAUAAUGAACAUACAAGUAACUACAAAAGUAUUAAUUUUGUUACCCUUAUUCAGGUUGACUUUGAUCUUAGAAUACAAGGCCCAAAGACACCAGGAAAAAAACACUCCUUUUUAAAAAGCCCUUUAUUGUCCUGAAAAUAGACCCCCACAGAUACUAAAAACACAUUCAGCAUUAGGUUGUGGUAUGAUGGUCAACAAUAUCUAGCACUACUUUGUGAAUUAUGUUUGCCAUGCUGCUGACUACUAAAAGUGAAAAAAAUAAAAUAAAAUUAAUAUUA